AUGGGCCCUGAUUGUAUCCCCAUUGAGGUGUGGAAAGGUCUCGGGGACAUAGCGAUAGUAUGGCUAACCAAGCUUUUCAACCUCAUUUUUCGGGCAAACAAGAUGCCAGAAGAAUGGAGACGGAGUAUAUUAGUACCAAUCUUCAAGAACAAGGGGGAUGUUCAGAGUUGUACUAAUUACCGUGGAAUUAAGCUGAUGAGCCAUACACUGAAGCUAUGGGAGAGAGUCAUUGAGCACCGCUUAAGAAGAAUGACAAGCGUGACCAAAAAUCAGUUUGGUUUCAUGCCUGGGAGGUCGACCAUGGAAGCCAUUUUCUUGGUACGACAACUUAUGGAGAGAUAUAGGGAGCAUAAGAAGGACUUGCAUAUGGUGUUCAUUGACUUGGAGAAGGCCUAUGAUAAGAUACCGCGGAAUGUCAUGUGGUGGGCCUUGGAGAAACACAAAGUCCCAGCAAAGUACAUUACCCUCAUCAAGGACAUGUACAAUAAUGUUGUGACAAGUGUUCGAACAAGUGAUGUCGACACCGAUGACUUCCCGAUUAAGAUAGGACUGCAUCAGGGGUCAGCUUUGAGCCCUUAUCUUUUUGCAUUGGUGAUGGAUGAGGUCACAAGGGGUAUACAAGGAGAUAUCCCAUGGUGUAUGCUCUUUGCGGAUGAUGUGGUGCUAGUUGACGAUAGUCGGACAGGGGUAAAUAGGAAGUUAGAGUUAUGGAGACAAACCUUGGAAUCGAAAGGGUUUAGGCUUAGUAGAACUAAAACCGAGUACAUGAUGUGCGGUUUCAGUACUACUAGCUGUGAGGAGGAGGAGGUUAGCCUUGAUGGCCAGGUGGUACCUCAGAAGGACACCUUUCGGUAUUUGGGGUCAAUGUUGCAGGAGGAUGGGGGUAUUGAUGAAGAUGUGAACCAUCGAAUCAAAGCCGGAUGGAUGAAGUGGCGCCAAGCUUCUGGCAUUCUCUGUGACAAGAGAGUGCCACAAAAGCUAAAAGGCAAGUUCUACAGGACGGCGGUUCUACCCGCAAUGUUGUAUGGCGCGGAGUGUUGGCCGACUAAAAGGCGACAUGUUCAACAGUUAGGUGUGGCGGAGAUGCGUAUGUUGAGAUGGAUGUGUGGCCACACGAGGAAGGAUCGAGUCCGGAAUGAUGAUAUACGAGAUAGAGUUGGGGUACCACCAAUUGAGGAGAAGCUUGUCCAACAUCGUUUGAGAUGGUUUGGGCAUAUUCAGCGCAGGCCUCCAGAAGCUCCAGUGCAUAGCGGACGGCUAAAGCGUGUGGAGAAUGUCAAGAGAGGGCGGGGUCGACUGAUUUUGACAUGGGAGGAGUCCGUUAAGAGAGACCUGAAGGAUUGGAGUAUCGACAAAGAGCUAGCUAUGGACAGGGGUGCGUGGAAGCUUGCUAUCCAUGUGCCAGAGCCAUGA
RNAcentral lists this ribosomal RNA (1413 nucleotides) under Triticum aestivum (bread wheat). Its description in RNAcentral is "partial small subunit ribosomal RNA". Lineage: Eukaryota; Viridiplantae; Streptophyta; Magnoliopsida; Poales; Poaceae. The record is from RNAcentral.